RNAcentral lists this ribosomal RNA (610 nucleotides) under Empedobacter sp. RNAcentral's name for it is "bacterial SSU rRNA". It matches the Rfam family "Bacterial small subunit ribosomal RNA", at positions 92 to 701 of the family's 1533-position model. The record is from RNAcentral. Lineage: Bacteria; Pseudomonadati; Bacteroidota; Flavobacteriia; Flavobacteriales; Weeksellaceae.
AGACCGGCGCACGGGUGCGUAACGCGUAUGCAACUUGCCUUACUGAAAAGGAUAGCCCUUCGAAAGGAGGAUUAAUACUUUAUAACAGAUUUAAUGGCAUCAUUAGAUUUUGAAAGAUUUAUCGCAGUAGGAUAGGCAUGCGUAAGAUUAGUUAGUUGGUGAGGUAACGGCUCACCAAGACGAUGAUCUUUAGGGGGCCUGAGAGGGUGAACCCCCACACUGGUACUGAGACACGGACCAGACUCCUACGGGAGGCAGCAGUGAGGAAUAUUGGACAAUGGGUGGAAGCCUGAUCCAGCCAUCCCGCGUGUAGGAUGACGGCCUUAUGGGUUGUAAACUACUUUUAUCUGGGGAUAAACCUACUUACGUGUAAGUAGCUGAAGGUACCAGAAGAAUAAGCACCGGCUAACUCCGUGCCAGCAGCCGCGGUAAUACGGAGGGUGCAAGCGUUAUCCGGAUUUAUUGGGUUUAAAGGGUCCGUAGGCGGAUUAAUCAGUCAGUGGUGAAAUCUCAUAGCUUAACUAUGAAACUGCCAUUGAUACUGUUAGUCUUGAGUGAUGUUGAAGUUGCUGGAAUGUGUAGUGUAGCGGUGAAAUGCUUAGAUAUUACG